This 253-nucleotide unclassified non-coding RNA is filed under the name uncultured Oligoflexaceae bacterium. RNAcentral describes it as "contains 16S-23S intergenic spacer region". It matches the Rfam family "Bacterial small subunit ribosomal RNA", at positions 524 to 776 of the family's 1533-position model. The record is from RNAcentral. Lineage: Bacteria; Pseudomonadati; Bdellovibrionota; Oligoflexia; Oligoflexales; Oligoflexaceae.
UACGAAGGGUGCGAGCGUUGUUCGGAAUUACUGGGCGUAAAGGGUUCGUAGGCGGGAAGGUAAGUCAAGUGUGAAAUCCCCGAGCUUAACUUGGGACGUGCACCUGAAACUGCUUUUCUUGAGUGUUGGAGAGGGUGGUGGAAUUGCUGGUGUAGGAGUGACAUCCGUAGAGAUCAGCAGGAACACCGGAGGCGAAAGCGACCACCUGGCCAAACACUGACGCUGAGGAACGAAAGCGUGGGGAGCAAACAGG